CACGUAGUUAGCCGGGGCUUCUUAAUCAGGUACCGUCAUUUUCUUCCCUGCUGAUAGAGCUUUACAUACCGAAAUACUUCUUCACUCACGCGGCGUCGCUGCAUCAGGGUUUCCCCCAUUGUGCAAUAUUCCCCACUGCUGCCUCCCGCAGGAGUCUGGGCCGUGUCUCAGUCCCAAUGUGGCCGUUCACCCCUCACGACGGCCGUACU
Molecule: ribosomal RNA, 209 nt
Filed under: uncultured Lachnospiraceae bacterium
Lineage: Bacteria; Bacillati; Bacillota; Clostridia; Lachnospirales; Lachnospiraceae
Description: partial 16S ribosomal RNA
Source: RNAcentral